This 432-nucleotide long non-coding RNA is filed under the name Lactuca sativa (garden lettuce). RNAcentral describes it as "long non-coding RNA (LSAT_LNC000221)". Lineage: Eukaryota; Viridiplantae; Streptophyta; Magnoliopsida; Asterales; Asteraceae. The record is from RNAcentral.
GAUUGAUCUGCGGUUUUUUCCAACAUUUAGUUUACAGUUUGUAGAUGAAUUUAGACUAUAAUUUUGUUUAUUUUGGUAUUAUAUUCACUGAGUUACAAUUCUUCAAAGUAGAGCUAUCAAAGCUGAAAAAAUUCAGCUUUUCAGCAAGAUUUUGUAAUCUAUGACGUUUUUUAAACACCCAUAACUCAUUCGUUUUAAGUCGGAUUGACCUGCGGUUUUUUCCAACAUUUAGUAUACAGUUUUUAGAUGAAUUUAGACUAUAAUUUUGUUUAUUUUGGUAUUAUAUUCACUGAUUUACAAUCCUUCAAAGUAGAGCUAUCAAAGCUGAAAAAAUUCAGCUUUUCAGCAAGAUUUUGUAAUUUGUGCGUUUUUUAAACACUCAUAACUCAUUCAUUUAAAGUCGGAUUGACCUCCGGUUUUUUCCAACAUUUA